This 253-nucleotide ribosomal RNA is filed under the name uncultured bacterium. RNAcentral describes it as "partial 16S ribosomal RNA". It matches the Rfam family "Bacterial small subunit ribosomal RNA", at positions 524 to 776 of the family's 1533-position model. The record is from RNAcentral.
UACGGAGGGGGCUAGCGUUGUUCGGAAUGAUUGGGCGUAAAGCGUCCGCAGGUGGCAAUGUAAGUCUGCUGUUAAAGAGUCUAGCUCAACUAGAUAAGAGCAGUGGAAACUACAUAGCUAGAGUACGUUCGGGGCAGAGGGAAUUCCUGGUGUAGCGGUGAAAUGCGUAGAGAUCAGGAAGAACACCGGUGGCGAAGGCGCUCUGCUAGGCCGUAACUGACACUGAGGGACGAAAGCUAGGGGAGCGAAUGGG